GCAGGCUGCAACCCGCCUGUAUGAAGUUGGAAUCGCUAGUAAUCGCGGAUCAGCAUGCCGCGGUGAAUACGUUCCCGGGCCUUGUACACACCGCCCGUCACACCAUGAGAGUCGGGAACACCCGAAGUCCGUAGCCUAACCGCAAGGGGGGCGCGGCCGAAGGUGGGUUCGAUAAUUGGGGUGAAGUCGUAACAAGGUAAC
This 201-nucleotide ribosomal RNA is filed under the name uncultured bacterium. RNAcentral's name for it is "partial 16S ribosomal RNA". It matches the Rfam family "Bacterial small subunit ribosomal RNA", at positions 1300 to 1500 of the family's 1533-position model. The record is from RNAcentral.